GCUCUCGUAGUUCAACGGAUAGAAUGGGGGAUUGCGGAUCCCCUGAUGCGGGUUCGAUUCCCACCGGGAGCG
Molecule: transfer RNA, 72 nt
Filed under: Candidatus Levybacteria bacterium CG2_30_37_29
Lineage: Bacteria; Candidatus Levyibacteriota
Also listed under: 2 other names
Description: tRNA-Arg
Rfam family: tRNA
About the family: Transfer RNA (tRNA) molecules are approximately 80 nucleotides in length.
Source: RNAcentral